RNAcentral lists this ribosomal RNA (505 nucleotides) under uncultured bacterium. RNAcentral describes it as "bacterial SSU rRNA". It matches the Rfam family "Bacterial small subunit ribosomal RNA", at positions 30 to 518 of the family's 1533-position model. The record is from RNAcentral.
UGAACGCUGGCGGCGUGCCUAACACAUGCAAGUCGAACGGAGAUUAGACGCUGCAGAGAUUUCGGUCAAAGCUUGUUAAUCUUAGUGGCGGACGGGUGAGUAACGCGUGGGCAACCUGCCUCAUACUGGGGGAUAGCAGUUGGAAACGACUGAUAAUACCGCAUAAGCGCACGGUGUCGCAUGACACAGUGUGAAAAAACUCCGGUGGUAUGAGAUGGGCCCGCGUCAGAUUAGCUAGUUGGUAAGGUAACGGCUUACCAAGGCGACGAUCUGUAGCCGGACUGAGAGGUCGGACGGCCACAUUGGGACUGAGACACGGCCCAAACUCCUACGGGAGGCAGCAGUGGGGGAUAUUGCACAAUGGAGGAAACUCUGAUGCAGCGACGCCGCGUGAAGUGAAGAAGUAUUUCGGUAUGUAAAGCUCUAUCAGCAGGGAAGAAAGACUCGCAAGAGAGAUGACGGUACCUGACUAAGAAGCCCCGGCUAACUACGUGCCAGCCGCCGC